AACGCACAUGGCGCCUUCCAGUAUCCUGGGAGGCAUGCCUGUCCGAGCGUCGUUUCAACCCUCGAGCCCUCGUGGCCCGGCGUUGGGGAUCUGCCACGGCAGGCCCCGAAAUACAGUGGCGGACCCGUUAGGCCCUUCCUUUGCGUAGUAGCAUUAGCCUCGCAUCGGGAGCCGGCGGGCUCUCCUGCCUCUAAACCCCCCAACAAGCCCGCUCCGGCGGCACCAAGGUUGACCUCGGAUCAGGUAGGAAUACCCGCUGAACUUAA
RNAcentral lists this unclassified non-coding RNA (266 nucleotides) under uncultured fungus. RNAcentral's name for it is "partial contains 5.8S ribosomal RNA, internal transcribed spacer 2, and large subunit ribosomal RNA". The record is from RNAcentral. RNAcentral also lists the same sequence under 1 other name. Lineage: Eukaryota; Fungi.